RNAcentral lists this ribosomal RNA (468 nucleotides) under uncultured bacterium. Its description in RNAcentral is "partial 16S ribosomal RNA". It matches the Rfam family "Bacterial small subunit ribosomal RNA", at positions 28 to 507 of the family's 1533-position model. The record is from RNAcentral.
GACGAACGCUGGCGGCGUGCUUAACACAUGCAAGUCGAACGGAAAGGCCCUGCUUUUGUGGGGUGCUCGAGUGGCGAACGGGUGAGUAACACGUGAGUAACCUGCCCUUGACUUUGGGAUAACUUCAGGAAACUGGGGCUAAUACCGGAUAGGAGCUCCUGCUGCAUGGUGGGGGUUGGAAAGUUUCGGCGGUUGGGGAUGGACUCGCGGCUUAUCAGCUUGUUGGUGGGGUAGUGGCUUACCAAGGCUUUGACGGGUAGCCGGCCUGAGAGGGUGACCGGCCACAUUGGGACUGAGAUACGGCCCAGACUCCUACGGGAGGCAGCAGUGGGGAAUAUUGCACAAUGGGCGGAAGCCUGAUGCAGCAACGCCGCGUGCGGGAUGACGGCCUUCGGGUUGCAAACCGCUUUCGCCUGUGACGAAGCGUGAGUGACGGUAAUGGGUAAAGAAGCACCGGCUAACUACGUA